RNAcentral lists this ribosomal RNA (400 nucleotides) under uncultured Bacillota bacterium. RNAcentral describes it as "bacterial SSU rRNA". It matches the Rfam family "Bacterial small subunit ribosomal RNA", at positions 28 to 396 of the family's 1533-position model. Lineage: Bacteria; Bacillati; Bacillota. The record is from RNAcentral.
GACGAACGCUGGCGGCGUGCCUAAUACAUGCAAGUCGAGCGAGUCUGCCUUGAAGAUCGGAGUGCUUGCACUCUGUGAAACAAGAUACAGGCUAGCGGCGGACGGGUGAGUAACACGUGGGUAACCUGCCCAAGAGAUCGGGAUAACACCUGGAAACAGAUGCUAAUACCGGAUAACAACAGAUGAUGCCUAUCAACUGUUUAAAAGAUGGUUCUGCUAUCACUCUUGGAUGGACCUGCGGUGCAUUAGCUAGUUGGUAGGGUACGGCCUACCAAGGCGAUGAUGCAUAGCCGAGUUGAGAGACUGAUCGGCCACAUUGGGACUGAGACACGGCCCAAACUCCUACGGGAGGCAGCAGUAGGGAAUCUUCCACAAUGGACGCAAGUCUGAUGGAGCAACG